UACGUAGGGUGCGAGCGUUGUCCGGAAUUACUGGGCGUAAAGAGCUCGUAGGUGGUUUGUCGCGUUGUCCGUGAAAACUCACAGCUUAACUGUGGGCGUGCGGGCGAUACGGGCAGACUGGAGUACUGCAGGGGAGACUGGAAUUCCUGGUGUAGCGGUGGAAUGCGCAGAUAUCAGGAGGAACACCGGUGGCGAAGGCGGGUCUCUGGGCAGAUACUGACGCUGAGGUGCGAAAGCGUGGGGAGCAAACAGG
Molecule: ribosomal RNA, 253 nt
Filed under: uncultured bacterium
Lineage: Bacteria
Description: partial 16S ribosomal RNA
Rfam family: Bacterial small subunit ribosomal RNA
Source: RNAcentral